CCUACGGGUGGCAGCAGUGGGGAAUAUUGCACAAUGGGGGAAACCCUGAUGCAGCGACGCCGCGUGAGUGAAGAAGUAAUUCGUUACGUAAAGCUCUAUCAGCAGGGAAGAAAAUGACGGUACCUGAGUAAUAAGCCCCGGCUAACUACGUGCCAGCAGCCGCGGUAAUACGUAGGGGGCAAGCGUUAUCCGGAUUUACUGGGUGUAAAGGGAGCGCAGGCGGCACGGCAAGCCUGAUGUGAAAGCCCGCGGCCCAACCGCGGGACUGCAUUGGAAACUACCGGGCUGGAGUGCCGGAGAGGUAGGCGGAAUUCCUAGUGUAGCGGUGAAAUGCGUAGAUAUUAGGAGGAACACCAGUGGCGAAGGCGGCCUACUGGACGGUGACUGACGCUGAGGCUCGAAAGCGUGGGGAGCAAACAGGAUUAGAUACCCCUGUAGUC
Molecule: ribosomal RNA, 440 nt
Filed under: uncultured bacterium
Lineage: Bacteria
Description: partial 16S ribosomal RNA
Rfam family: Bacterial small subunit ribosomal RNA
Source: RNAcentral